This 253-nucleotide ribosomal RNA is filed under the name uncultured bacterium. Its description in RNAcentral is "partial 16S ribosomal RNA". It matches the Rfam family "Bacterial small subunit ribosomal RNA", at positions 524 to 776 of the family's 1533-position model. The record is from RNAcentral.
UACGUAGGUGGCAAGCGUUGUCCGGAUUUAUUGGGUUUAAAGGGUACGUAGGCGGUUUUGUAAGUCAGUGGUGAAAUAUGUCAGCUUAACUGAGAGGGUGCCAUUGAUACUGCAGAACUUGAGUACAGAUGAGGUAGGCGGAAUUGACGGUGUAGCGGUGAAAUGCUUGGAUAUCGUCAAUAACACCUAUAGCGCAGGCAGACUACUAGUCUGUAACUGACUCUGAAGCACGAAAGUGUGGCGAUCAAUCAGG